Uranotaenia lowii is the source of this 2557-nucleotide long non-coding RNA. RefSeq lists it as uncharacterized. NCBI's taxonomy places the organism in Eukaryota, Metazoa, Arthropoda, Insecta, Diptera, Culicidae. The record is from RefSeq and is a predicted model, not a curated record. The transcript is spliced from 3 exons.
UACUAUUGUUCGGUUGAGAAUCAAAGUCAUUAAAACAAAAAGAUGCGUGCCUUUUUGCUUAUCGCGGUUUGUCUUGCGGUGAUCUCCACCCUGUUUGGAAGCGUUGAGAUGGCAACUGAGAAAAAGGUGGCGGAACGUUCUGCUCCACUAGCGUAUUAAUCAAGCCAAUUCGCGAAGGUUUAAUAUCCGGUUUGAAAAGUGCCCCAGAAAUGAGUGGUAACAAUUUGAUAUUUGUAACGGGUACAUAAAGUCGAAGCAAUAUUAUUUAUUUAUUUCUCUACCUUUAUCAAACGAUUCAUUCAUUUCUUCCAUUGUUAAUAAUAAGCCUAAUAUAAAUUCAAUAUUAUUUUUGCAAACGGUUCGAACAUGCCAAUAGAAAUUUUGCCCUUAUUAAAACGACUCAAGACAAGAACGAAACAAACACCUAAUAUCAUUUGAAGCACCACCCCAGUCAUCAAUCAUUAAAUAACACAUCUGAGUGACCGACACAAUUCUGGCGGCAAGCACGUGACUUUAGAUGCUAUCUUCUGUAGGCCACCGACCACUUUCUUAUUUUGGCGUCAGGUGAAUGACCUCUUUCGGGGGCUUUUGUGCACUUAUUUUGGCUAAGCAAAAGUUGGGCCUCUUUUAUUCGGGUCCAGAAGGGGAAGACGAGGACUACUCGAAGAAUUCGCGAAAUGGGAUCUAAUUGUUUGACUUCGCGGUGCGACUUGUUCGUAUCGGGUAGUUCCGGUUGCGAAGUCAAGCUAGAUCAGGUCGAUCAGCGGACGAUUGAGACUCCAAGCUCACUUACGUCCGGUGAUUAGUAGAGUCAGGAUCAAGUAGUGUUCAUUAUUCAAAGUCGACAGGUAACCAAAGUUCAGUGUGUGAUUCCGAGACUAGGUUCCCUUAUCUAAAUAGCCCUCUUUUUUCGCAUUAGUCUGUGUCAGGUGAAAGACAGCUUAGGGAAGUGCAGUGCAAAAAAGUGGUGCAUUUACUAGUAGGUAGGUGGAGACCCAAAUGGGCCAAAUUUACAAUCCACACCGCCAAAAUGCGCGACAUGUAUUUAACCCGACCACCAGCCACAGGUACGCACACCCACCGCAGCUUACACCCUAGAAGACGGUCGCCGGGCCCGUCGCGAACCCGCGGGGUCCCGCAACAGCAACAGCACAUCCCGCCAGUUUCUCCUAGCCACAUUGGAACACGACACCAAAGUCGCUUGCACCACGAGGAGCCGACAGCAGGUCGGUCGGCGGCUGAUAGACGUACCCAGAUUCGCCGGACGAUCCACCAAGCCAAAACCGUAUCUCAUUCAACCAAGCUUCCAGCAGGCCACGCUACAUAGCUGCGCAAAUGCUAUGCGGUGACCGGCCGAACAAAAAAGGUUCUAAUCACCCCGUCUUAGCUACCUGCAUAGUCCUCGACCAGCUAACAUCGGCCGGGAGAACGAUAGGUAGCCGCAAAGGAGCGACUGAACGUGGUAAGACUACUAAGUCCCGCCAACAGCUAGCAAUUCGAGUGAGUACUGAUAGCAAACCCACCCAUAUUCUCUAGUGAUUGUUAUACCUGAUAUGUUUUCGCAGUUUUUUACCGUCUCUUUUAAGCCGGAUAAACAAAGUGUUUUUCGCACUUUCUGGCGGAAAAAUCGCGUUUUUCGGACUGGCGAGCCGACGAAAGUAGCCUUUUCACCACCCACGCGGUGGAAAUAUCGAAAAACCAAAUGAAAAUCAAAUGAUUUUUCAAAGCAAAAUCGCUAAGUAAUUUAGCAACAAUCAAGCAUCUCCACCAAAAAUGCACUGCUAGAUAGAAUUUCGAAAGAGGGAAAAUAGUUUAGGCCUAAACAGUAUCAUGUAAACACAACACGACACACAUGAAAAUACAAUAAAGCCAAUUAAUUAUUGUAAGCGAAAUGCGAAUGUUUGAACUAUGAAAGUCUGAUUGGGAUAACUGGAAAGGGAGUCACACGCUGUUCGUUGUUCGAGAUUUAUUUUCGUUCCUUUGCUGCGGAGAUUGGCCGCGAAUCCAAUCGAUUUCUGUCUCUUCUGGUCCAGGUAAGGGGUUUGGUCUCGUCCGAUGAUUAGCGCCCCUAGCUUGCUUUCGUAACGAACAGCUAACUCCCAUUUCCACGGAUUUCUCCCGGGUUUUGUCUCGACUUCGGGGCGGCCCUUAAGGGUCGAAGUACGGAUCCCUUUUUAGAGUCCCUUCCGCUUCUUUCCCAAAAUCGGGAAUCAAAAGGAACUCGCGACCGAGUCUCGUCAGCUGGGCAAGAUAAGAAAGGGUAGGUGGUCUUCCAAACGGAAGUGGCGCUUAAGCCACCUGCUUAAAACCGGAAGCGUAACGGGCCUCUCGUUAUAUAUUGGAAUAAAAUGAAAUAUUGAUUGUAUGAGAGAUCAUAAAUGUAAAUAUGUUUACGUAAAUAGUUGAGGAAUUGCCAAUCUUGACGAACAUGUAACUCCAGAAACCAUGUGGGAAAUGGGUUAAUAAGGUCAGAGUGUCAAACGGGACAGUUUCAACAGAAAUUCCACAAUGUUUUCGAUUAUCUAUCGGUUCGAAUUUAAGUCAGCUGGCAAUACUG